UUAUGUCUCCAGUAACAAAUGACAUUUUCUACACUGAUGGGUGACAUCUUCAGCAUAUUGCUCAUACGACAUAGAUGCUUCCAGGAUUUGUAAGGUGCCAGAACAGAAGGAAAAAUGAGAUAAGAGUGAACAGAACAACCGCACGGAGACCAAGACGGAAGAGGCAAGUGAAAAUAUUGAGAUAUCACUGUUUUAUGGAGAACUUCUAGAAAAUGAGUUUACUUUCUCUUGUUCUUGGACAUUCGUCCAUAGUGAUAUGGAUAGGGAAUACUUGAGAUUUCACUUGAGUGUGAGAAUAGUUAUUUGAAUUAGAGUUUAUUUACUUUUUCUGUUAUUUGGAAAACAAAUGCACCAAGAAAGGUGCUAUGCACUGAGAAUACUAAAAAAGGAUAAGAAAUUUGUUCAUCUUAAAGGACAAGAGGGGACUCAUACAGCUUAAACAAGUGAUAACUGUCACUAUACAGUGAGGUGAAUAAAGUGAUGGGAGUGCUUUGGGCAUAUGGUAAAUGUCGUCUAAUUAACUUAUUGUAGUUUAGAGAGAGAAGUCAAAAAGAGAUUCUUGGCAAAGUACGUAAGGUUUAGAGUGAUAAAUAUAAGAAAAUUUUGAAUUAAUCGAAGGAGAUGGAAGUAGAUUUGGGAGAGGUUGCCCUGAGAGAGGUUCGUGGGCAGGAUAUAAUUGAGGAUUUUUAAAGCUAUUAUCUUAUUUUCCACAAUAUUUCAUUAUAAGGGUUAAAAGUUCCAAAAAUCUGUGAAGAGAAUUCUCUUUUUCACAGAGAAAAUUCCUGAUCACUGCUGAUUUUUAGCGAUAAUCCCAUGGCAAAAGUAAUUCUUCAUUCUGUAUUACUGGAAUGUGUGUGUGUGUGUGUGUGUGUGUGUGUGUUUGUGUGUGUGUGUGAGAGAGAGAGACACACACACACACACACACACAGAGACAGACAGACACACACACACAGAACAUAACAGUGAAUGCUGAUAUGACCAGAGGAGAAGGAAGCUUCUAUAAUGUUGGCAGGCCAUGGAAGGCAUCAUUUCUAACUCACCACUGGGGAUACAGUGGUGUUUCCUGCCACUUCUUUGGGUCAGUUUUUGGUAGGAGACAAUGAAGAGUAAUCCCUGACAUUGUGGAGCCUCCAGAUGAGGAGAGAAUAUGAAUGAGUCAUUACAAAUUUGGAAUGUGCAUGUGUAUGUAGAUGUGCAUGUAUGUAUGUACAUGUAUGUCAAUACACAUUCAUAAAUAAAUACAUGUGAUUUCUUAUAGGGCCCUGAAUUUACCUAAUUGUGGGAGCAGACUUAAGCAGCUCUGUUAAGGCUGAUGCUGGAACUUGAGGUCUCUAGGGCAGGUGCCUGAAAUGGCAAAAUGGAUUUAAAGCAGGAGAGAGAGAGAACAAGCUGGAGACUUGAGUCAGAGCCCAAGAGGCUGGGCUGAAACCCAUGUCACUCUUUGGUUGCCUUGGCCAUUGGUAGUAGGGGGUCCUGCAGAGUCCAGGGCUGCAGAGACCAGGGCUCCUCAUCCCAGAGCCCAGUACACAUGCUUGACCUGAAAGUUGAAGAAGCUGCAGGAGGAUGAAGGGGAAGCUGGAUCAGGUUACAGAACAGGCUGCUGGUCAUGCAAAGGAGGAGAGCCAAUAAUUGUCAACAACGCAUGUGAGAGCAACAACACAGCUGCCUCUUCACUUCUGCCCUCCUGAUCUCUCAUAAGAACCUCUUUCGUGCCUCAUCCUAAUUGAAAGCUUAAUGGAAAAAGAAUCCUAGGAUAUAAAGUUUAGCAGCAUUGAAUUAAAAACAUGUUACAAGGCCACAUAGUAAUGUUAGAAAGCAGACUCAUGAUCAUGGCAGCAAGAGAGUUGUCAAUGAGAGGGCACUGGGAUGCUGGUCAUGUCUUUUUUUUUUUAACUGCACCUGCAGGAUUCAUACCUUCCUGGUCCAGGGAUGGAAUCUGCACACAGUAGUGACAACACUGGGUCAUUAACUUCUAGGCCAGAAGGGAAAUCCUGUCCCAUUAAAAAAAAAAAAAACAAAUCUGGAUUCUUAAAGGGAUGUCCUUAUGAUUUUGCAUCUUCUCUGUGUAGGUAGUACUUCAAUAAAAAGUAAACUAAAGUCGAUAAAAAAUUCCCGGUAAUCACUAACAUGGUGAACAUUAUCCAUGAGUGAGAACAAAUAUUCUGAAGGCUGACCUAACAAGGGGCUCAGGAAGGGCUACCUUGUAUGGUUCACUUUUAAGAUGAGACUGAAAUGGAGUCCACUCUUUGGAUGCAGAUGGUAGACAGAACUAUUCAGAAGAAGAGUGAAAGUGCACGAGAGCCCAGCUGAAUUGAGAACAGUGAGAGAGGAGGGAGAAAUGAGGCUUACAGAAGAUCCAGAGACCAAAUAAUGGUGUCUCAUUCUGCUCAGGCUGCCCUACAGAAUACCUUGGCUGUGUGGCUUAAAUAACAUACUUUUCUCACAGUUCUCCAAAGUAGAAGUCCAAGAUCAGGGCUGCAGGUGGUUACCUUCUCUCCGUGCAUUCACAUGGACUUUGCUUUGUGCCUAUUAGAUUAUGACCCACCCUUAUGAUCUCCACUAGCCUUAAUUUUCUCCUCAAAGCACUGUCUCCAAAUACAGCUGUAUUGGGGAUUAGGGCUUCAACAUAUAAUUUCUGAGGCAGACAGUUUUUUUCUUCCUAACAAAUGGAGAGCUCUGUGUGAUGCAUAAAAUACUUUUUGCUCUGUCUUAAGUAUAAGAUUGUGCUUAAAACUUUUAUGAGUGGGAGUGACUUCAUGAGGUUUUAAAAGACCACUCUGUUUGCAGACUGGAGGGGGUGAAAGAGUGAGGACAAGGAGAUCUAUUAAAGGAAGUUGAAGUGUUCCAGGACAGAGGAAGGGAGUGGGUGCUUAGAUUAAAUGGAUCAAAGAGUGUUGUGAAGCGGCUACAAACAAUGCAGAAAAACUUGGAUAUGAAUCCAGGCUCUGCAUUUACUAGGUGAUACUUUGGGGCAAUUUUUGCUUAAGGUACGUUUCAAGUGUUGCAUCUGCAAAGUAAAGAUCAUAAUAAAAGGCCCUCCAUACAAUGUCAAAGGUUAGGCUCCUUGAGAUACAGAAACUGACGGAACUGGUGCAGGGAGUUUAUUGGAGAGUUUGUAGGGGUAAAAGAAGCAGAAUUGGGCAGGGGACGGGUUUAAGUGUAAUAGAGUCAUAGCAAAGGUCUCUGCCAAUUUUGAUGGGAGUAUUGGAGCAGGAUGGUCUUCCUCCCACUGGAAUCCUUUCAAAUUGAGGUGGCAGGGUUUGUGUUUGAACUUGUGCACUGAUCAAGCAUGGGGAAGGGCUGGUGUUCCCGUCAUGGCUCAGUGGUUAACGAAUUCGACUAGGAACCAUGAGAUUGCGGGUUCAGUCUGUGGCCUUGCUCAGUGGGUUAAGGAUCCAGCAUUGCCGUGAGCUGUGGUGUAGGUCGCAGAUAUGGCUCAGACCUGGCAUUGCUGUGGCUCUGGCUCUGGCCAGCAGCUACAGCUCCGAUUAGACCGCUAGCCUGGACACCUCUAUAUGCUGCGAGUGCAGCCCUAGAAAAUACAAAAAAAAAAAAAAAAAAAAAAGCAUUGGGGAGGGCUGGGAUAUAGGGUGAAAUCCUUCAGCCAGAGGCAAGUCUCUGAGGACGGUCCUCACAGAUAAGUGUAGGCUUCCAACAUACCACCAACUGAGGGAAGGAGUUCUUUAGUCAUAUAAGAUGACAUGGAUAGAACUUGAGGGAAAUAUGCUAAGUCAACUGUCAGAUAAAGACAAAUACUUACACAUAGAAUCUAAAAUGGCUGAAUGGGAGUUCCCAUCAUGGUUCAGUGGUUAACGAAUCUGACUAGGGACCAUGAGGUUGCAGGUUCGAUCCCUGGCCUCGCUCAAUGGGUUAAGGAUCCGGUGUUGCCAUGAGCUGUGGUGUAGGUCACAGACAUGGCUCAGAUCUGGUGUUGCUGUGGCUGUGGCAUAGGCCAGAGGCUACAGCUCUGAUUAGACCCCUAGCCUGGGAACCUCCAUGUGCCACAAGUGCAGCCCUAGAAAAUACAAAAGUAAAAUAAAAUAGCUGAAUGGAAGCAACAUAGACCAGAGAUUGAUAGAGCUGGGAGGCGGGGGAAAUUAACAGAUAUUAGUCAAAGGAUACAGAUUUCUAAGAGAAAUCAUUUCUGGGGAGGUAAUAUAUAGCAUGGUGACAAUAGUUAACAAUACUGUAUUGUAUACUUAAAGUUGCUAUGAGAGUAAAUUUUAAACAUUCUCACCAUGAAAACAGCAAAAUGGUAAUUAUGAGAGGUAAAGGAUGCAACUAACCUUAUGGAGUUAAACAUUCCCUAUAUAUAGCCAAGUCAUUGCAUUGUAUACCUUAAAAUUACACAAUAUUAUAUGUCAUUUAUAUCCCAAUAAAGCUGGAGAAUAUAGGCAGGGAAAGAAGUUCUCUUGGACGUCCAAUUCGAUGGCUUCUCCUUCGCUCAUUAGAAUAAUGCUUUAUUCAGCGCUUAGAGUCUCCACCACCCACUCAUCUUAAGCACCACUUCCCUAGGCAUCAGGCUCCGCCUAAAAUUAGCUGCCAGGGCUCCUCUGACAAUAGAAGGUGUUGUCUGUGUUUCCUGACCUCUUUUUUUCAUCUUCUUGAUGAAAGUGGUAUAACAUCUCUCUCUCACUCACUGGUUUUCUUAUGAGGUGAUUUCUAGGGAACUUAUAAUGAAAAAAGUAUUUAUUACCAAAGUUUUUAUUUAUUUUAAGUACUUACUACAGGCCAAGCAUUCCUUCAUUUUCUAUGUAGAAUAGCCAAUAACAGUUUAAAAUGAGGAAACCAGAGUUCCCUUCAUGGCUCAGUGGAAAAGAAUCUGACUAGUAUGCAUGAGGACACUGGUUUGAUCCCUGGCCUUGCUCAGUGGGUUAAGGAUCUGGCAUUGCUGUGGCUGUGGCAUAGGCCUGGAAACCUCCGUAUGCUGUGGGUGUGACCCUAAAAAGACAAAUAAAUUAAAUUAAAUUAAAUGAGGCAACCAAGGCUUAGGAAAGUUAUAUAAUUUUUCAUAUGUAAUAAAGUUCUAAAGCAAUAAAAUCAGGAACUGAACUUGUCUCUUUUGCUUCUCCUUUGUAUGUUAAUCAUUAGACUCAUUGCUUAGUCCCAACCACCAUUAUACCUCAACCCAUAAAUGGCUACCAAAAAUAACCAGCUAGACAGCUGACUCUAGCAAGUUUUUAACCUCUGAGAAUACUCUGUAUCUCUCUGUAAAUAUGGAGCUCGGGACUAAGGUAACUUUCAAAGGGACAGAUUUGAGAUAGACUGACAUAGAGAUAGCAAUGGCAAGAUUCAGGAUUGCUGAGAUAAUUGAGGGUAAGAGAGAAAAGCAAAGUACAGAGGCAAAGUAAUAUGAACAAUAAAGAAAGGUAGAUGAGAAGACACUGGCAAAGUCACCUGAGAAAGCAUCAAAUAAAUCCCAUUCUGAGAGUCUCAUGGAAGAAGGAAUAAUGGUAGGGACUGAAGGCAUGCACUUGAAUGGUUUACAUCAAGAUCAUUGGUGAUGUUCUGCAGGGCAUCUAGAAAAUAAAUUAGCAUAAAAGUCCAUGACCACUUCCAGUCCCCAGCACAACAUAUCCCAACUACACUUAGAACAAAUAUUUUAAGAUGGAUGAGUAAAAUCAUUAUAGGGGGCUCCCAAUUAGAUCAUGUAUGUGUUAAAAUUGCAAGGGGAUUUACAUAAAAUAUAUACUGUGUUAAAUAGUAUCAUUAAUUACAUCAUC
Molecule: long non-coding RNA, 5723 nt
Filed under: Sus scrofa (pig)
Lineage: Eukaryota; Metazoa; Chordata; Mammalia; Artiodactyla; Suidae
Description: lncRNA (ENSSSCG00000058441.1)
Source: RNAcentral